This 245-nucleotide long non-coding RNA is filed under the name Elaeis guineensis (African oil palm). RNAcentral describes it as "long non-coding RNA (EGUI_LNC025532)". Lineage: Eukaryota; Viridiplantae; Streptophyta; Magnoliopsida; Arecales; Arecaceae. The record is from RNAcentral.
GUCGUCGUCGCCGCCUUCUUAUUCUUAUUUUAUUUUUUUUGAAAAAAAUAAUAAUAAAAUCUAAUCAUUUUUAUCCGGUAAAUAAAACAAGAUUAAUGCUGCUAUCUAUCUAUGUCAUAUUAUACAUAGAGCAUGAGUCCUCUGCGGUAUCCAUAAUGGACUGCACAGUACAAUGCAUCAUAAGCACCGACUAUGAUGGACGGUUGCAUGCAGCAUGCAUCGCAUAGUGUGAGGCUUGUGUGAUC